This 253-nucleotide ribosomal RNA is filed under the name uncultured bacterium. RNAcentral's name for it is "partial 16S ribosomal RNA". It matches the Rfam family "Bacterial small subunit ribosomal RNA", at positions 524 to 776 of the family's 1533-position model. The record is from RNAcentral.
GACAGAGGUCCCGAGCGUUAGGCGGAAUUACUGGGCGUAAAGGGCGCGUAGGCGGUUCGAUAAGUCCCGUGUGAAAUCCCUCGGCUCAACUGAGGAAUGGCACGGGAAACUGACGGGCUUGAGUUCGGGAGAGGGAAGCGGAAUUCCGGGUGUAGCGGUGAAAUGCGUAGAUAUCGUUUGGAACGCCAAUGGUGAAAACAACUCGCUGGGGAUGUGCCGACGCUGAGACACGAAAGCCAGGGGAGCGAACAGG